GGUAAACGCUGGCGGCGUGCCUAAAACAUGCAAGUCGAACGGGCGGACGCUUUCGGGUGUCCGUCAGUGGCAGACGGCUGAGUAACGCGUGGACGACCAUCCCUGGUGUGGGGAAUAACUGCCCGAAAGGGUGGCUAAGACCGCAUACGUUUCCAUGUUCGAUCAUGGAAGAAAGCAGCAAUGCGCACCAGGACGGGUCCGCGUCCGAUUAGCUGGUUGGUGGGGUAACGGCCUACCAAGGCGACGAUCGGUAGCUGGUCUCAGAGGAUGAUCAGCCAGA
This 280-nucleotide ribosomal RNA is filed under the name uncultured bacterium. RNAcentral's name for it is "partial 16S ribosomal RNA". It matches the Rfam family "Bacterial small subunit ribosomal RNA", at positions 28 to 312 of the family's 1533-position model. The record is from RNAcentral.